GAUGAACGCUGGCGGCGUGCCUAAUACAUGCAAGUCGAGCGAACAGACGAGGAGCUUGCUCCUUUGACGUUAGCGGCGGACAGGUGAGUAACACGUGGAUAACCUACCUAUAAGACUGGGAUAACUUCGGGAAACCGGAGCUAAUACCGGAUAACAUGUUGAACCGCAUGGUUCAACAGUGAAAGACGGCCUUGCUGUCACUUAUAGAUGGAUCCGCGCCGCAUUAGCUAGUUGGUAAGGUAACGGCUUACCAAGGCAACGAUGCGUAGCCGACCUGAGAGGGUGAUCGGCCACACUGGAACUGAGACACGGUCCAGACUCCUACGGGAGGCAGCAGUAGGGAAUCUUCCGCAAUGGGCGAAAGCCUGACGGAGCAACGCCGCGUGAGUGAAGAAGGUCUUCGGAUCGUAAAACUCUGUUAUUAGGGAAGAACAAAUGUGUAAGUAACUAUGCACGUCUUGACGGUACCUAAUCAGAAAGCCACGGCUAACUACGUG
Molecule: ribosomal RNA, 497 nt
Filed under: uncultured bacterium
Lineage: Bacteria
Description: partial 16S ribosomal RNA
Rfam family: Bacterial small subunit ribosomal RNA
Source: RNAcentral